GACGAACGCUGGCGGCGUGCCUAAUACAUGCAAGUCGAGCGGACUGAAUGGGAGCUUGCUCUUGUUCGGUCAGCGGCGGACGGGUGAGUAACACGUGGGCAACCUGCCCGCAAGACCGGGAUAACUCCGGGAAACCGGAGCUAAUACCGGAUAACACCGAAGACCGCAUGGUCUUUGGUUGAAAGGCGGCGCAAGCUGCCACUUGCGGAUGGGCCCGCGGCGCAUUAGCUAGUUGGUGAGGUAACGGCUCACCAAGGCGACGAUGCGUAGCCGGCCUGAGAGGGUGACCGGCCACACUGGGACUGAGACACGGCCCAGACUCCUCCGGGAGGCAGCAGUAGGGAAUCUUCCGCAAUGGGCGAAAGCCUGACGGAGCGACGCCGCGUGAGCGAAGAAGGCCUUCGGGUCGUAAAGCUCUGUUGUGAGGGACGAAGGAGCGCCGUUUGAAGAAGGCGGCGCGGUGACGGUACCUCACGAGGAAGCCCCGGCUAACUACGUG
Molecule: ribosomal RNA, 499 nt
Filed under: uncultured bacterium
Lineage: Bacteria
Description: partial 16S ribosomal RNA
Rfam family: Bacterial small subunit ribosomal RNA
Source: RNAcentral